This 698-nucleotide long non-coding RNA is filed under the name Cyanistes caeruleus (blue tit). RNAcentral's name for it is "lncRNA (ENSCCEG00000009728.1)". The record is from RNAcentral. Lineage: Eukaryota; Metazoa; Chordata; Aves; Passeriformes; Paridae.
CUGUGAGAUACUGGAACAGGUUGUCCAGAGAAGGUGUGCAGGUUCCAUUCCUGGAAGUGCUCAAGGCCAGGUUGGAUGGGGCUUUAAGCAACCUGGUCCAGUGGAAGGCAUCCCUGUGCUAGUUCCUGCCAUAUGAGGUUAUGUCAGAAAUUGUAUACUUCUGUUUUACUGAAUACUAAUCACUUGCACUGAUCUAUGUGUCUCUUGUCUAGAGAAGAUGAAUAGAGAGGUUUGGCUUAACUGUUCGGCUGAUUUUGUAGUCAGUGAGAAGACAUAAACGUCUCCAAAGUGCAGACAAUUUUAUCCAAGAUACUUACAGAACACGAGUUCAAUUCUUUCUGGAAUUCUGUACACCAACCUGCCCUUUAUCAGCUGUGAAGGGACUGAAGAGAAACUCUCCUAUUAACUGGUGACGAGCAAAUGAUCUAUACAUGAUUCCAAUUUAGUUAAUGAUGUGACUUUGCUACAAAAGAAUUCUUCAUCUACAAAUAGAAGAAAGGUCUGUGAAACAUAUUAGCUAUUCUCUUCAUUCUACCCAUUAGCAUCAGUACCUUAGCUACAAGAUUAAGUUUCAGGUUGUGGUUAAAGAGGGAUAUUUUCCAUUUGCAGACAGUCUACAGAAGAGUAACAGAGGUGAUCAAUAGAAAUCACUAGAAAAACUGGAUUUGCUUUGUCUAGACAGAAAAAGACUAAGGUAA